UACGAAGGGGGCUAGCGUUGUUCGGAAUUACUGGGCGUAAAGCGCGUGUAGGCGGUUGCCCAAGUCGGGUGUGAAAGCCUUGAGCUCAACUCAAGAAAUGCACUCGGUACUGGGUGACUAGAGGACCGGAGAGGAUACUGGAAUUCCCAGUGUAGUGGUGAAAUACGUAGAGAUUGGGAAGAACACCAGUGGCGAAGGCGGCUAUCUGGACGGUUUCUGACGCUAAGACGCGAAAGCGUGGGGAGCAAACAGG
This 253-nucleotide ribosomal RNA is filed under the name uncultured bacterium. RNAcentral's name for it is "partial 16S ribosomal RNA". It matches the Rfam family "Bacterial small subunit ribosomal RNA", at positions 524 to 776 of the family's 1533-position model. The record is from RNAcentral.